AUGCUGAAAAUGAAGCCCUCAAGGCCCCCUUCUUGGAAGAAGAAAUCAAAAAGGUUGUCUUUGAAUCAUACUCUGAUGGUGCCCCUGUCCCGGAUGGUAUCCCCUUCUUUUUUUUACCAGCACUUUUGGGAGUUGGUAAAAAAAGACCUGAUAGCCAUGUUUGAAGUUUUUCAUCAAGGAGAACUGGCUAUUCGUAGGCUUAACUUUGCUAUGCUGACUUUAAUCCCAAAGGAAGCUGAUGCUUCCAGUAUGAAAAAAUUUAGGCCUAUUAGUUUGCUAAAUUGUAGCUUCAAGAUCUUCACCAAGGUCCUCACAAACAGGCUAGCUAAGAUUCUGCAAAGGCUUAUAGCUAGUAACCAGUCAGCCUUCCUUAAAGGUAGGUAUAUAUUAGAAAGUGUGGUUACAACUCAUGAGAUUCUGCACUCCAUCCACUCUACCAAGAGGCAUGGCCUAGUGCUUAAACUAGACUAUGAAAAGGCUUUUGACAAGGUAGAUUUGGAUUUCCUUGAAGAGCUGCUUAGAAAAAGAGGGUUUGGUGAAAAAUGGGUCCAUUGGAUACUGCAAGUAACUAGAGGAGGAUCAGUGGGUGUUAAGCUAAACAACACUGAGAGUGACUUUUUCCUUACAGGGAAAGGUUUAAGGUAG
This 645-nucleotide ribosomal RNA is filed under the name Triticum aestivum (bread wheat). RNAcentral describes it as "partial small subunit ribosomal RNA". Lineage: Eukaryota; Viridiplantae; Streptophyta; Magnoliopsida; Poales; Poaceae. The record is from RNAcentral.